This 243-nucleotide long non-coding RNA is filed under the name Elaeis guineensis (African oil palm). Its description in RNAcentral is "long non-coding RNA (EGUI_LNC051336)". Lineage: Eukaryota; Viridiplantae; Streptophyta; Magnoliopsida; Arecales; Arecaceae. The record is from RNAcentral.
AUGCGGAUAGUGCCAAUGUGUCAUAAUUAGAUGGCAGAUGCAUCGAAAGAUCCAAAUGAUGCUCGGCCCUCAUACCGUCAAGUGUCAAGAUCUAGAAAGUCUUGAUUUGAAUAAAUACAUCUCAACCAUUGACCAGUCAUAUAUAUAAGGGUUGUCUUCCUCCUUCAUUUGGGUUUGUUUGGGUCUUCUGCUGCAACUCUGAGUGCCCGAGUGAUUCCUAUGGAUACCGAGAGCUUUGUUGGA